GACGAACGCUGGCGGCGUGCUUAACACAUGCAAGUCGAACGGUGAAGGGGUCUGCUUUUGUGGGCCCUGGAUGAGUGGCGAACGGGUGAGUAACACGUGAGUAACCUGCCCCCUUCUUCUGGAUAACCGCAUGAAAGUGUGGCUAAUACGGGAUAUUCUGGGUCUGUCGCAUGAUGGGUCUGGGAAAGAUUGCGCCUUUGGGUGUUUUUGGUGGGGGAUGGGCUCGCGGCCUAUCAGCUUGUUGGUGGGGUGAUGGCCUACCAAGGCGGUGACGGGUAGCCGGCCUGGGAGGUUGGUCGGUCGCACUGGAACUGGGACACGGCCCAGACUCCUACGGGAGGCAGCAGUGGGGAAUAGGACGCAGUGGGCGCAAGCCUGAUGCAGCGGCGCCGCGUGAGGGAUGGAGGCCUUGGGUGUGUAAACCUCUUUCGCGAGUGAAACAGGCCUGCUCCUUGUGGGUGGGUUGACGGUAGCUGGAUAAGAAGCGCCGGCUAACUACGUG
Molecule: ribosomal RNA, 502 nt
Filed under: uncultured bacterium
Lineage: Bacteria
Description: partial 16S ribosomal RNA
Rfam family: Bacterial small subunit ribosomal RNA
Source: RNAcentral